UACGGAGGGAGCUAGCGUUGUUCGGAAUUACUGGGCGUAAAGCGCGCGUAGGCGGCUUUUUAAGUCAGGGGUGAAAUCGCGGGGCUCAACCCCGGAACUGCCCUUGAAACUGGAUGGCUAGAAUACUGGAGAGGUGAGUGGAAUUCCGAGUGUAGAGGUGAAAUUCGUAGAUAUUCGGAAGAACAACAGUGGCGAAGGCGACUCACUGGACGGUUAUUGACGCUGAGGUGAGAAAGCGUGGGGAGCAAACAGG
Molecule: ribosomal RNA, 253 nt
Filed under: uncultured bacterium
Lineage: Bacteria
Description: partial 16S ribosomal RNA
Rfam family: Bacterial small subunit ribosomal RNA
Source: RNAcentral